RNAcentral lists this ribosomal RNA (442 nucleotides) under uncultured bacterium. RNAcentral's name for it is "partial 16S ribosomal RNA". It matches the Rfam family "Bacterial small subunit ribosomal RNA", at positions 339 to 795 of the family's 1533-position model. The record is from RNAcentral.
CUACGGGUUGCUCCAGUGGGGAAUAUUGGACAAUGGACCAAAAGUCUGAUCCAGCAAUUCUGUGUGCACGAUGACGGUUUUCGGAUUGUAAAGUGCUUUCAACAGGGAAGAAGUUCUGACGGUACCUGUAGAAGAAGCGACGGCUAAAUACGUGCCAGCAGCCGCGGUAAUACGUAUGUGCGCAAGCGUUAUCCGGAUUUAUUGGGCAUAAAGGGCAUCUAGGCGGCUUAGUAAGUCUGAUGUGAAAAUGCGGGGCUCAACUCCGUAUUGCGUUGGAAACUACUAAGCUAGAGUAUUGGAGAGGUAGGCGGAACUACAUGUGUAGAGGUGAAAUUCGUAGAUAUAUGUAGGAAUGCCGACGACGAAGGUAGCUUACUGGACAAUUACUGACGCUGAAGUGCGAAAGCUAGGGGAGCAAACAGGAUUAGAUACCCUGGUAGUC